GGAGAGGUGGCCGAGUGGUCGAAGGCGCACGCCUGGAAAGCGUGUAUACCGGCAACGGUAUCGCGGGUUCGAAUCCCGCUCUCUCCGCCA
Molecule: transfer RNA, 90 nt
Filed under: Paracoccaceae bacterium
Lineage: Bacteria; Pseudomonadati; Pseudomonadota; Alphaproteobacteria; Rhodobacterales; Paracoccaceae
Also listed under: 6 other names
Description: tRNA-Ser
Rfam family: tRNA
About the family: Transfer RNA (tRNA) molecules are approximately 80 nucleotides in length. Their secondary structure includes four short double-helical elements and three loops (D, anti-codon, and T loops). Further hydrogen bonds mediate the characteristic L-shaped molecular structure. tRNAs have two regions of fundamental functional importance: the anti-codon, which is responsible for specific mRNA codon recognition, and the 3' end, to which the tRNAs corresponding amino acid is attached (by aminoacyl-tRNA synthetases). tRNAs cope with the degeneracy of the genetic code in two manners: having more than one tRNA (with a specific anti-codon) for a particular amino acid; and 'wobble' base-pairing, i.e. permitting non-standard base-pairing at the 3rd anti-codon position.
Source: RNAcentral